GGUUAAGCUACUAAGAGCACACGGAGGAUGCCUAGGCACUAGGAGCCGAAGAAGGACGUGGCGAACAACGAAACUGCCUCGGGGAGCUGUAAGCAAGCUUUGAUCCGGGGGUGUCCGAAUGGGGAAACCCGGCUGGAGUAAUACCCAGUCACUCAUGCCUGAAUACAUAGGGUGUGAAGAGGCAUACCAGGGGAACUGAAACAUCUAAGUACCCUGAGGAAGAGAAAACAAUAGUGAUUCCGUUAGUAGCGGCGAGCGAAUGCGGAACAGCCUAAACCAGAGAGCUUGCUCUCUGGGGUUGUGGGACGUCUCACAUGGAGUUACAAAGGAACAGGGUAGACGAAGAGGUCUGGAAAGGCCCGCCAAAGAAGGUAAAAGCCCUGUAAUCGAAAUUCUGUUCCCUCCGAGACGGAUCCCGAGUAGUGCGGGGCACGUGAAACCCCGUAUGAAUCUGCCAGGACCAUCUGGUAAGGCUAAAUACUCCCUAGUGACCGAUAGUGAAGCAGUACCGUGAGGGAAAGGUGAAAAGCACCCCGGAAGGGGAGUGAAAAAGAACCUGAAACCGUGUGCUUACAAGAAGUCAGAGCCCGAUCUAUGGGUGAUGGCGUGCCUUUUGUAGAAUGAACCGGCGAGUUACGUUUGCAAGCAAGGUUAAGCCGAGAAGGUGGAGCCGCAGCGAAAGCGAGUCUGAAUAGGGCGAUUAAGUUUGUAGGCGUAGACCCGAAACCGUGUGAUCUACCCCUGUCCAGGGUGAAGGUGCGGUAACACGCACUGGAGGCCCGAACCCACGUAUGUUGAAAAAUGCGGGGAUGAGGUGGGGGUAGCGGA
RNAcentral lists this ribosomal RNA (828 nucleotides) under Paenibacillus sp. Marseille-P2973. RNAcentral describes it as "partial 23S ribosomal RNA". It matches the Rfam family "Bacterial large subunit ribosomal RNA", at positions 1 to 822 of the family's 2925-position model. The record is from RNAcentral. Lineage: Bacteria; Bacillati; Bacillota; Bacilli; Caryophanales; Paenibacillaceae.